Molecule: ribosomal RNA, 253 nt
Filed under: uncultured bacterium
Lineage: Bacteria
Description: partial 16S ribosomal RNA
Rfam family: Bacterial small subunit ribosomal RNA
Source: RNAcentral
UACGUAGGUGGCAAGCGUUGUUCGGAAUUACUGGGCGUAAAGCGCGCGUAGGCGGCUCUUCAAGUCAGGCGUGAAAGCCCCGGGCUUAACUCGGGAACUGCGCUUGAUACUGUCGAGCUAGAGUGUGGAAGGGGCGAUUGGAAUUCCGUGUGUAGCGGUGAAAUGCGUAGAUAUACGGAGGAACACCAGGGGCGAAGGCGGAUCGCUGGGCCAACACUGACGCUGAUGCGCGAAAGCUAGGGGAGCAAACGGG